CUACGGGGCGCACCAGUGGGGAAUAUUGCACAAUGAGCGAAAGCUUGAUGCAGCCAUACCGCGUGUGUGAAGAAGGCCCGAGGGUUGUAAAGCACUUUCAAUUGGGAGGAAGGUUAAGUAGUUAAUACCUGCUUAAUUUGACGUUACCUUUAGAAGAAGCACCGGCUAACUCUGUGCCAGCAGCCGCGGUAAUACAGAGGGUGCAAGCGUUAUUCGGAAUUACUGGGCGUAAAGCGCGCGUAGGCGGAUUAUUAAGUCAGUUGUGAAAGCCCUGGGCACAACCUGGGAACUGCAUCUGAUACUGGUAGUCUGGAGUUUAAGAGAGGGAAGUGGAAUUCCAGGUGUAGCAGUGAAAUGCGUAGAUAUCUGGAGGAACAUCAGUGGCGAAGGCGACUUCCUGGCUUAAAACUGACGCUGAGGUGCGAAAGCGUGGGUAGCGAACGGGAUUAGAUACCCGUGUAGUC
RNAcentral lists this ribosomal RNA (464 nucleotides) under uncultured bacterium. Its description in RNAcentral is "partial 16S ribosomal RNA". It matches the Rfam family "Bacterial small subunit ribosomal RNA", at positions 339 to 795 of the family's 1533-position model. The record is from RNAcentral.